GAGUUUGAUCCUGGCUCAGAUUGAACGCUGGCGGCAUGCCUUACACAUGCAAGUCGAACGGCAGCACGGGAGCUUGCUCCUGGUGGCGAGUGGCGAACGGGUGAGUAACGCAUCAGAACGUAUCCUGGAGUGGGGGAUAACGUAGCGAAAGUUACGCUAAUACCGCAUAUUCUGUGAGCAGGAAGGCGGGGGACCUUCGGGCCUCGCGCUCUUGGAGCGGCCGAUGUCGGAUUAGCUAGUUGUGAGGUAAAGGCUCACCAAGGCGACGAUCCGUAGCAGGUCUGAGAGGAUGAUCUGCCACACUGGAACUGAGACACGGUCC
This 322-nucleotide ribosomal RNA is filed under the name bacterium enrichment culture clone ALO1_GLFRUDD03F452Y. Its description in RNAcentral is "bacterial SSU rRNA". It matches the Rfam family "Bacterial small subunit ribosomal RNA", at positions 9 to 332 of the family's 1533-position model. The record is from RNAcentral.